GCCGAUGUAGCUCAGCUGGUAGAGCGGCGCUUUCGUAAAGCGUAGGUCAGCGGUUCAAACCCGCUCAUCGGCUCCA
RNAcentral lists this transfer RNA (76 nucleotides) under Saccharimonadaceae bacterium (SeqCode). RNAcentral describes it as "tRNA-Thr". It matches the Rfam family "tRNA". Rfam says of the family: Transfer RNA (tRNA) molecules are approximately 80 nucleotides in length. Their secondary structure includes four short double-helical elements and three loops (D, anti-codon, and T loops). The record is from RNAcentral. Lineage: Bacteria; Candidatus Saccharimonadota; Candidatus Saccharimonadia; Saccharimonadales (SeqCode); Saccharimonadaceae (SeqCode).